This is a long non-coding RNA of Gorilla gorilla gorilla (western lowland gorilla), 1257 nucleotides long. RefSeq lists it as uncharacterized. Lineage: Eukaryota; Metazoa; Chordata; Mammalia; Primates; Hominidae. The record is from RefSeq and is a predicted model, not a curated record. The transcript is spliced from 3 exons.
CUAGGCCCUCUUGCCAGAAAAGUUCUUUCUCCACAGACCAACAGGAAGUUCCCUAAGUACUAUGAGACCUUGUCUUUGCCUAUAGCUGGCUGCAUUGGACAUGGAUUCCUGGCCCAAGUUCAUUAAAGAAGAUGAGGGAAAAUAAACACACAUGUACACGCACACCAGAUAAACUGAAUGCUUCCUUCUGCUGGGGACGCGCUAUAGGUGAGCAAGUGCACCAAGGACAAGGCGGCCACUGAUGAAAAGGAAGGGAAAAGAGACUUCAUUUCCAUACCCACUAACCACGCCAACAGAAGGCUUUGUGAAGAAGGAAGUAAAAGCUAUCGGUAGGAGUUAGAAAAAAACAUUUCUAGUUACAAGAACAGCAGGAAAGGACCUGAACUUCAGAGUGGACCACAAAUGAAUAUGAAUUAAUAACACAGAUCUCUUUUCAAAAGCCAGCACAAAAUGAGGAUGUGUUUUUUGCAAAAGCAGUUGUUCUUGCCACUGGGCUUAUGCUUGUCAUUCUUUCAUGUGUCACAGCCAGACAUAGGAAAUUCCCUGGAAAGUCCCCUCCAUCACACACCUGCAGUUUUUCCAUUUGAGUGUAAUUCUGUUGGACCUUGAAAGACUUUUUGAUCUUUGGGACGCUCUUAUCACCAAAUGUAUCUUUCUGCAGGAAGAAGACAGAAGAAAGGGGUGGACUGUGAGAUGGGAGCCUGGGUCCCAAUUUCAGUUCAACCAUUACCAACCAGGUGGCUUUAGGCAAGUCUGGUCAUUUCCUUUGCCUCAGUGGCUUUCUAUAAAAUUGAAUUCUAUGGGGAUGAUGAAAGCGAAAACAUUAGCCACUAUGCUUGCUAGUGCUCAAGAAAUGAUUCCUUCCUGCCUGCCUGCCUCAGUUUUCCAUCUGUAAACAAGGAUUCAACUAGAACAUCUUUGAGGUUCCUUGAGCUCUAACACUCUGUGAUUCUGUUGGCAGCACCUUAAGAAAUUUACAACAAACACUCCAGUGAGUCUUAAUCUAUUAGAUCCCAUUCAUUUCUAAUAGUGUUGUGAUUUUGACUUUGUAGCCUAAUGUUUAUUUUCUCUCUUCCUGAUUUUUUAUUUAUAUAUUCUAGUUAAUAGUUUUUGCUUUUUCAAGUUGCCACCAAUUCUUUGUAGAGUAAGAAAAAAGUAUAACUAACUGGAGGAAAGAAUGCAUUAGCGGAAAGCCAAGGAAUGAUAACACUAAUGCUAAUACAAUACUACUGCUAAUAAAAAUAACUGCCUUUAUUG